AGAGAGAAGCUUGCUUCUCUUGAGAGCGGCGGACGGGUGAGUAAUGCCUAGGAAUCUGCCUGGUAGUGGGGGAUAACGUUCGGAAACGGACGCUAAUACCGCAUACGUCCUACGGGAGAAAGCAGGGGACCUUCGGGCCUUGCGCUAUCAGAUGAGCCUAGGUCGGAUUAGCUAGUUGGUGAGGUAAUGGCUCACCAAGGCGACGAUCCGUAACUGGUCUGAGAGGAUGAUCAGUCACACUGGAACUGAGACACGGUCCAGACUCCUACGGGAGGCAGCAGUGGGGAAUAUUGGACAAUGGGCGAAAGCCUGAUCCAGCCAUGCCGCGUGUGUGAAGAAGGUCUUCGGAUUGUAAAGCACUUUAAGUUGGGAGGAAGGGCAUUAACCUAAUACGUUAGUGUUUUGACGUUACCGACAGAAUAAGCACCGGCUAACUCUGUGCCAGCAGCCGCGGUAAUACAGAGGGUGCAAGCGUUAAUCGGAAUUACUGGGCGUAAAGCGCGCGUAGGUGGUUUGUUAAGUUGGAUGUGAAAUCCCCGGGCUCAACCUGGGAACUGCAUUCAAAACUGACUGACUAGAGUAUGGUAGAGGGUGGUGGAAUUUCCUGUGUAGCGGUGAAAUGCGUAGAUAUAGGAAGGAACACCAGUGGCGAAGGCGACCACCUGGACUAAUACUGACACUUGGGGAGCAAACAGGAUUAGAUACCCUGGUAGUCCACGCCGUAAACGAUGUCAACUAGCCGUUGGGAGCCUUGAGCUCUUAGUGGCGCAGCUAACGCAUUAAGUUGACCGCCUGGGGAGUACGGCCGCAAGGUUAAAACUCAAAUGAAUUGACGGGGGCCCGCACAAGCGGUGGAGCAUGUGGUUUAAUUCGAAGCAACGCGAAGAACCUUACCAGGCCUUGACAUCCAAUGAACUUUCUAGAGAUAGAUUGGUGCCUUCGGGAACAUUGAGACAGGUGCUGCAUGGCUGUCGUCAGCUCGUGUCGUGAGAUGUUGGGUUAAGUCCCGUAACGAGCGCAACCCUUGUCCUUAGUUACCAGCACGUAAUGGUGGGCACUCUAAGGAGACUGCCGGUGACAAACCGGAGGAAGGUGGGGAUGACGUCAAGUCAUCAUGGCCCUUACGGCCUGGGCUACACACGUGCUACAAUGGUCGGUACAGAGGGUUGCCAAGCCGCGAGGUGGAGCUAAUCCCACAAAACCGAUCGUAGUCCGGAUCGCAGUCUGCAACUCGACUGCGUGAAGUCGGAAUCGCUAGUAAUCGCGAAUCAGAAUGUCGCGGUGAAUACGUUCCCGGGCCUUGUUACACACCGCCCGUCACACCAUGGGAGUGGGUUGCACCAGAAGUAGCUAGUC
This 1356-nucleotide ribosomal RNA is filed under the name Pseudomonas sp. Its description in RNAcentral is "bacterial SSU rRNA". It matches the Rfam family "Bacterial small subunit ribosomal RNA", at positions 71 to 1435 of the family's 1533-position model. Lineage: Bacteria; Pseudomonadati; Pseudomonadota; Gammaproteobacteria; Pseudomonadales; Pseudomonadaceae. The record is from RNAcentral.